UACGUAGGGAGCGAGCGUUGUCCGGAAUGACUGGGUGUAAAGGGAGUGUAGGCGGGAUGGCAAGUCAGAUGUGAAACCUGAGGGCUCAACCUUCAGACUGCAUUUGAAACUGCUGUUCUUGAGUGAAGUAGAGGUAAGCGGAAUUCCUGGUGUAGCGGUGAAAUGCGUAGAGAUCAGGAGGAACAUCGGUGGCGAAGGCGGCUUACUGGGCUUUUACUGACGCUGAGGCUCGAAAGCGUGGGGAGCAAACAGG
RNAcentral lists this ribosomal RNA (253 nucleotides) under Ruminococcus callidus. Its description in RNAcentral is "partial 16S ribosomal RNA". It matches the Rfam family "Bacterial small subunit ribosomal RNA", at positions 524 to 776 of the family's 1533-position model. The record is from RNAcentral. Lineage: Bacteria; Bacillati; Bacillota; Clostridia; Eubacteriales; Oscillospiraceae.